GGGUCAGUAUACCGUAUCAGGAAGCGGCGCGGACUGUAAAUCCGUUGGUUCACACCUCAGUAGGUUCGACUCCUACCUGGCCCA
RNAcentral lists this transfer RNA (84 nucleotides) under Caudoviricetes sp. RNAcentral describes it as "tRNA-Tyr". It matches the Rfam family "tRNA". Rfam says of the family: Transfer RNA (tRNA) molecules are approximately 80 nucleotides in length. Lineage: Duplodnaviria; Heunggongvirae; Uroviricota; Caudoviricetes. The record is from RNAcentral.